CCUACGGGAGGCAGCAGUAGGGAAUCUUCCGCAAUGGACGAAAGUCUGAUGCAGCCAUGCCGCGUGUAUGAAGAAGGCCUUCGGGUUGUAAAGUACUUUCAGCGGGGAGGAAGGCGAUAAGGUUAAUAACCUUGUCGAUUGACGUUACCCGCAGAAGAAGCACCGGCUAACUCCGUGCCAGCAGCCGCGGUAAU
RNAcentral lists this ribosomal RNA (194 nucleotides) under uncultured bacterium. Its description in RNAcentral is "partial 16S ribosomal RNA". It matches the Rfam family "Bacterial small subunit ribosomal RNA", at positions 338 to 524 of the family's 1533-position model. The record is from RNAcentral.